This is a non-coding RNA of Salmo salar (Atlantic salmon), 1075 nucleotides long. The record is from RefSeq and is a predicted model, not a curated record. Lineage: Eukaryota; Metazoa; Chordata; Actinopteri; Salmoniformes; Salmonidae.
GUGGGAGUCUGUUCCUCUGGAGCAGAGGCAUGGCUUCAGCUGCAACUACAGCCUCUAGUCCAGAUUGAAGAGGAAAUCCUGAGGUUGUAGUUACGGCUGUGGUACCAGUUGAGUGGUUUGUCUGGACUGUACAGGAUCCACAUGGAAGGAGUCCUGCUGGUCCAACGGCUGUAGAGGGCAUCGAUUCAGUGGACACCAUCCUGCUGUGCUCACUGUCCUGAUACUGCUGACCUGCCUACAUUGGAGACAGAGGAUAAAGCAGAAACUCUGACCCCGCACAUAGUAGCCUGUCAACCUGGAACUCCGAGACUAAAUACACCACAGUCUUUUUCACUGAGGGGGUAGGUACUUUUGAAUGCCAGAUAGCAAAAUGGGACUGUGCACUACAAAAUGGAAAAACACAGAUCCACUACACAUAUCUGUAGACAAAUGCUCUCGUUGAAGAUCUCUGGAAGUCAAAAGAAACUACACAGAGUAGGACUCAUUUUGUGAAAGUAUUAUUUUCAUUGAUUACUCUGUGUUGCACUUUAAUGCUAUUGUUAGUCUAACCAAUAUUACAUGUUUAAAGUUAUUAUUAUAAUUUCAAAUACAGCCCCAUUGUCCCCACUCACCCAGUAGGGGGCAGAAACCUAUUGAUUUUGAAUGCACAAUGAACAAAAAUAUAAAUGCAACAUGUAAAAAAAGGGUUGGUCCCGUGUUUCAUGAUCAGAAUUUUUUUUAUUAUUUCUUUCAAUUAUUUUGCACAUCGGUGUUAGUGAGUGUCUCCUUUGACAAGAUAAUUCAUUCACCUGACAGGUGUUGCAUAUCAAGAGGGGGGGGGGCUGAGGAGUAUUUCUGUCUGUGUAAUAAAUCGGAUUUUAUUUGUCACAUGCGCCGAAUACAACAGGUGUAGGUAGACCUUACAGUGAAAUGCUUACUUACAAGCCCUUAAUCAACAAUGCAAUUUUAAGAAAAAUACCCCCCCCCCAAAAAAAGGCAUAAAAGUAACAAAUAAUUAAAGAGCAGCAGUAAAAUAAGGCCCUAUUGUGGGGAAAACGAAUUCUCAUUGGCUGGGCCUGGCUCCCCAUUGGGUGGG